CCUACGGGUGGCAGCAGUCGAGAAUCUUUCACAAUGGGGGAAAGCCUGAUGGUGCGACGCCGCGUGGGGGAAUGAAGGUCUUCGGAUUGUAAACCCCUGUCAUGUGGGAGCAAAUUAAAAAGAUAGUACCACAAGAGGAAGAGCAGGCUAACUCUGUGCCAGCAGCCGCGGUAAUACAGCGGUCUCAAGCGUUGUUCGGCAUCACUGGGCGUAAAGCGUGCGUAGGCUGUUUCGUAAGUCGUGUGUGAAAGGCGCGGGCUCAACCCGCGGACGGCACAUGAUACUGAGAGACUAGAGUAAAGGAGGGGGAACCGGAAUUCUCGGUGUAGCAGUGAAAUGCGUAGAUAUCGAGAGGAACACUCGUGGCGAAGGCGGGUUCCUGGACAUUAACUGACGCUGAGGCACGAAGGCCAGGGGAGCGAAAGGGAUUAGAUACCCUAGUAGUC
This 446-nucleotide ribosomal RNA is filed under the name uncultured bacterium. RNAcentral describes it as "partial 16S ribosomal RNA". It matches the Rfam family "Bacterial small subunit ribosomal RNA", at positions 338 to 795 of the family's 1533-position model. The record is from RNAcentral.